AGAGGAACGAUCGAUUCGUCUUGAAGAGGUGUCUCCAUAAGAGGCUAUUUUUCACGUGGCAAUCUAUAUUAACAAAAUGGACCAUUCGAAGCUUUUUAGAACGUUCACAUCAGCAAAAAAUUAUUUUUUUGAAAAAAAAACACAUGAUUUUUUUUUUGGUAAUUGUUAUCACAAUAUUAAGGGUCUGACUGGUUCAAACGCAGCGGUUGCAGUUGCGGUUGCGGGAGUUUGUGGAUGCGGGCGAUUGCGGUUUCUAGCGGUUUUAAGAGAUUUGUACGACUGGUA
Molecule: long non-coding RNA, 285 nt
Filed under: Brassica napus (rape)
Lineage: Eukaryota; Viridiplantae; Streptophyta; Magnoliopsida; Brassicales; Brassicaceae
Description: long non-coding RNA (BNAP_LNC023586)
Source: RNAcentral